RNAcentral lists this ribosomal RNA (524 nucleotides) under uncultured bacterium. RNAcentral describes it as "partial 16S ribosomal RNA". It matches the Rfam family "Bacterial small subunit ribosomal RNA", at positions 355 to 868 of the family's 1533-position model. The record is from RNAcentral.
UGGGGAAUUUUGGACAAUGGGCGCAAGCCUGAUCCAGCCAUGCCGCGUGCGGGAAGAAGGCCUUCGGGUUGUAAACCGCUUUUGUCAGGGAAGAAAUCUUCUGAGUUAAUACCUCGGGAGGAUGACGGUACCUGAAGAAUAAGCACCGGCUAACUACGUGCCAGCAGCCGCGGUAAUACGUAGGGUGCAAGCGUUAAUCGGAAUUACUGGGCGUAAAGCGUGCGCAGGCGGUUUUGUAAGACAGAGGUGAAAUCCCCGGGCUCAACCUGGGAACUGCCUUUGUGACUGCAAGGCUUGAGUGCGGGCAGAGGGGGAUGGAAUUCCGCGUGUAGCAGUGAAAUGCGUAGAUAUGCGGAGGAACACCGAUGGCGAAGGCAAUCCCCUGGGCCUGCACUGACGCUCAUGCACGAAAGCGUGGGGAGCAAAACAGGAUUAGAUAGCCCCUGGUAGUCCACGCCCUAAACGAUGUCAACUGGUUGUUGGGAAGGUUCCUUCUCAGUAACGUAGCUAACGCGUGAAGUUGA